RNAcentral lists this long non-coding RNA (1939 nucleotides) under Volvox carteri. RNAcentral describes it as "long non-coding RNA (VCAR_LNC002892)". Lineage: Eukaryota; Viridiplantae; Chlorophyta; Chlorophyceae; Chlamydomonadales; Volvocaceae. The record is from RNAcentral.
ACGGCUAAGGGAUCCCUUCCGGAUGAUGAAGAAUGUGCUUUAUGCUGGACCAAUUACACAUCACGAUCAGCAUCGAUUAAGCGGCUCCAGGAGCUGGUACCAGCUGGUACCGGCCGGUGCUUAGGGCCCGAUCCGCCGCCGGGAGGACGACUUCCUGAGGCAAACACGACGGACAUCCCGAACGGUGCUUACAUCCGUGUUAUGGAAAUUGCUCUUACGUGUGUGGACCGGACGGAUGGACAUGAGGCAACGUUUUGCAUCACUUGUUUCUUGGCCGCAAGCAGCAACGUAGUGAAGGACAUGGACGCGCAUGCACAGGCCAUGGAAUGGUAUGUCUAAAUCAUGGAUGGCGACGUUCAACUCUCAGAAUGGUGAUUUCUGCCUUUGGGUUCAAUUCUGAACCUGGAAUGCUGCUGGCUCUGCCCGUACCGGAAAAGUGCUUUCCGGUACGGCGGUGUCAGGAGGUGGUAUGUACGUCGUCUUAGGGGCAACCCUAAGACCAAGGGGAUGAACGAAUAGAGAUAUACUUUCUGUUUCUUGGCUGCAGCAAGUGUUGUCCUGGGCGCAACGUUGAUGGCCUGAUGCCGACGCGACCUCCUUUACGACAAUGCUAGGCAAACGCAGCGGAUGUUCAUGAAUUACUUAAGCGUUCAUAUUACUCGUCACAGCUUCAACGGCACUGUACUGGGCGGAUGUAAGACGUGCGUUGGUGGACGCGAUGGCCUUACGAAGGGGGAGAAAGACGCUUAGGAGAUGCUUGGAUUGUUAUGUACAAGUCACGGACGGGGACGUUUAACUCUAUGAAUGCUGAGUUUUAGCUACUAGUCGGGUUUUUUGAACUUCGCUGUUGUUGGUUCCGCCCGUACAGGAAAAGUGUCUUCUGAUACGGCGGUCACAGCAGGUAGUAUCCACGUCGACUUGUAUGCAAACCNAAAUACAACGAAACCAGGGGAUGAUAUGACAGUUUUGGAAUGCUUGUUUCUUGGCCGCAAGCAGCAGCAUACUUAAAUCGCGUUGGGCCAUUUGCCCAGGCUGCCGCGAGGACGACAAGCCAGGCUAAUGCAGCUGGUGUCCAUGAUUGGAUCAUUACGUGCUGAAUAUGAAAGAUUGCUACGAAGACUCUGACCCUGACGAACGUAAAAUGUGAUGUUCGUAAGGAAGAAAACAGACGCAUAUCCAAGGCAUGGAGCUGUUUGUAGGGAAACCGUAAAUGAAGGUUUAAGGAACUGAACGAUGAAUUCUGCCGGUGUGGUCGGUUCUGGAUCUCUUAUGUUGCUCGUCACGCUCCUAAGGAAAAUGUACAUUUGUUGCAGGAGGGAGUCUGUGUGUCAAGUCGUAGUCAAACCUUUUUCAAAGGGGAUGAGCACACACACAGCUUGCAUUCCAUGUUCACUAACGUCAGCCCACAGUAAGCUACUGGGCUAGACUUGGAGGGUCCGACCGGGGCAACUCGUUGCUGUGGACUUGUAGGCAAGUCAAGUAGGGCUAUGGAAUGCUAGGACAAUGUUAUUAUGUUUGUGUUAUAGGCUUGGGUAGGAAUUCUUAAGCAAUACGUUGAGUGGCUUUUCCGCCGGCGGGAGGACGACAAUCCCAUGCAAACAGGACGGAUGUUCCGAAUGUUGCUUACAUUCAUGUUGUCGAAGCUCGCGACGACGGCUCUGGACAGGACGGAUGUCAAGUGUGCGUUGGUGGACGUGAUGGCAACGUAGUGAAGGACACGGACGCGCAUGCACAGGCCAUGGAAUGGUAUGUCUAAAUCAUGGAUGGCGACGUUCAACUCUCAGAAUGGUGAUUUCUGCCUUUGGGUUCAAUUCUGAACCUGGAAUGCUGCUGGCUCUGCCCGUACCGGAAAAGUGCUUUCCGGUACGGCGGUGUCAGGAGGUGGUAUCUACGUCGUCUUAGGGGCAACCCUAAGACCAAGGGGAUGAACGAAUAGAGA